GAUGAACGCUGGCGGCGUGCCUAAUACAUGCAAGUCGAGCGAACAGACGAGGAGCUUGCUCCUUUGACGUUAGCGGCGGACGGGUGAGUAACACGUGGAUAACCUACCUAUAAGACUGGGAUAACUUCGGGAAACCGGAGCUAAUACCGGAUAAUAUAUUGAACCGCAUGGUUCAAUAGUGGAAGACGGUUUUGCUGUCACUUAUAGAUGGAUCCGCGCCGCAUUAGCUAGUUGGUAAGGUAACGGCUUACCAAGGCAACGAUGCGUAGCCGACCUGAGAGGGUGAUCGGCCACACUGGAACUGAGACACGGUCCAGACUCCUACGGGAGGCAGCAGUAGGGAAUCUUCCGCAAUGGGCGAAAGCCUGACGGAGCAACGCCGCGUGAGUGAUGAAGGUCUUCGGAUCGUAAAACUCUGUUAUUAGGGAAGAACAAAUGUGUAAGUAACUAUGCACGUCUUGACGGUACCUAAUCAGAAAGCCACGGCUAACUACGUG
RNAcentral lists this ribosomal RNA (497 nucleotides) under uncultured bacterium. RNAcentral describes it as "partial 16S ribosomal RNA". It matches the Rfam family "Bacterial small subunit ribosomal RNA", at positions 28 to 507 of the family's 1533-position model. The record is from RNAcentral.